Molecule: ribosomal RNA, 253 nt
Filed under: uncultured bacterium
Lineage: Bacteria
Description: partial 16S ribosomal RNA
Rfam family: Bacterial small subunit ribosomal RNA
Source: RNAcentral
UACGGAGGAUGCAAGCGUUAUCCGGAAUGAUUGGGCGUAAAGCGUCCGCAGGUGGCUAUGUAAGUCUGCUGUUAAAGAGUCUGGCUCAACCAGAUAAAGGCAGUGGAAACUACAUGGCUAGAGUGCGUUCGGGGCAGAGGGAAUUCCUGGUGUAGCGGUGAAAUGCGUAGAGAUCAGGAAGAACACCGGUGGCGAAAGCGCUCUGCUAGGCCGCAACUGACACUGAGGGACGAAAGCUAGGGGAGCGAAUGGG